CAAUAGCGUAUAUUAAAGUUGUUGCAGUUAAAAAGCUCGUAGUUGGAUUUUGAGUUUGGUAAAAUCGGUCUGCUUUUCGCAGUACUGACUUGCCUGCUCUUCUUCUCGAGGCCUAUGAGUGUACUUAACCGUGCGUUCAUAGUGUUCGGGACUUUUACCGUGAGAAAAUUAGAGUGUUCAUAGCAGGCUUUUGCUUGAAUAUUGCAGCAUGGAAUAAUGGAAUAGGAUCAUGAUCUUAUUUUGUUGGUUUCUAAGAUCAAGAUAAUGAUUAAUAGGGAUAGUUGGGGGCAUUAAUAUUUAGUUGUCAGAGGUGAAAUUCUUAGAUUUACAAAAGAUUAACUUCUGCGAAAGCAUUUGCCAAGGAUGUUUUCGUUAA
This 376-nucleotide ribosomal RNA is filed under the name uncultured eukaryote. Its description in RNAcentral is "partial 18S ribosomal RNA". It matches the Rfam family "Eukaryotic small subunit ribosomal RNA", at positions 592 to 976 of the family's 1831-position model. The record is from RNAcentral.